UCCGCAGGCGGUCAAUUAAGUCAGAGGUGAAAUACCAUAGCUCAACUAUGGAACUGCCUUUGAUACUGGUUGGCUUGAGUCAUAUGGAAGUAGAUAGAAUGUGUAGUGUAGCGGUGAAAUGCAUAGAUAUUACACAGAAUACCGAUUGCGAAGGCAGUCUACUACGUAUGUACUGACGCUGAGGGACGAAAGCGUGGGGAGCGAACAGGAUUAGAUACCCUGGUAGUCC
RNAcentral lists this ribosomal RNA (229 nucleotides) under uncultured bacterium. RNAcentral describes it as "partial 16S ribosomal RNA". It matches the Rfam family "Bacterial small subunit ribosomal RNA", at positions 568 to 796 of the family's 1533-position model. The record is from RNAcentral.